AGCAACCUGCUCUAGACCCCUCUCUGUGACUGUUCUGUUCUGUUCUUUUGCCUAUUAAACUCCUGCUCCAAACUCACUCUAUGUGCGUGUGCAUGUCCUCGACCUCAAUCUCCUUGGCCAUGAGACCAAGAACCUCAGUAUUUACCCCAGACAACAAGGCUGCUUCAUUUUGAGGGCUCGUCCAGGAUUUGAAGGUGACUUCAUCAGAAUGAAACCAACAAGCUUCAGAUGGUGCUGCAAAUGGAGCCGAAAAUGAAACUGCCCUCCUACGAAGGACCCUUAAAUCAGCCCCGGAGGAAGCCCCAGCUGCUGUUCCCCACACAACACCACUCUCCAGCAGGAAGGAGCCAGAAGAAAUGUCACCGGGUUUCCCCUAGCGGCAGCGCACUAAGAUAGAGAAGCUAAAAGACUGGGGGGAUGCCUGCAGCUGCAAGAAGAUGUGUGGGAGCAGACACAGAAACUCUCCCUCCCAGGUAAGCAAGACAAAGAAACACAGACUAAGAGUCCAUCUGUGUGGUCGGAGAAUGGGAUAAGAGCUGAUAGAAAAAACUCUGCGCUAUAGACAUAGCAUACCUGGUCCCAACUAACCAUUGGGCCCUAGGAGGAUAAGACAUUCCCUCCUCAGAGCCCCCUCCUCAGUAGCCCGUUUAUAAAAACCCUGACAAUUUUACUACCACUUGGCAACCUGCUCGGGACCCCUCUCCGUGAUGGAGAGCUAUUCUUUUCUUUUGCCUAUUAAACUCCUGCUCCAAACUCAUUCUCUGUGUGUGUGUGUGUGUGUGUGUCUG
Molecule: long non-coding RNA, 788 nt
Organism: Rhinopithecus roxellana (golden snub-nosed monkey)
Lineage: Eukaryota; Metazoa; Chordata; Mammalia; Primates; Cercopithecidae
Exons: 3
Source: RefSeq, a predicted model, not a curated record